UACAGAGGUGCCAAGCGUUAGGCGGAAUCACUGGGCUUAAAGCGCGUGUAGGUGGGUCGUUAAGUGUCCGCGUGAAAUCCCACGGCUCAACCGUGGAACUGCCGGGCAUACUGGCGAUCUUGAGGCAUUCAGGGGCGAGCGGAACAAAUGGUGGAGCGGUGAAAUGCGUAGAUAUCAUUUGGAACGCCAACGGAGAAAUCAGGUAGCUGGGGGUGUGCUGACGCUGAGACACGAAAGCCAGGGGAGCGAACGGG
This 254-nucleotide ribosomal RNA is filed under the name uncultured bacterium. RNAcentral describes it as "partial 16S ribosomal RNA". It matches the Rfam family "Bacterial small subunit ribosomal RNA", at positions 524 to 776 of the family's 1533-position model. The record is from RNAcentral.